CAGCCGCCACGGGAAUACGAAGGGUGCAAGCGUUAAUCGGAAUUAUUGGGCGUAAAGCGCGCGCAGGCGGUCCUAUAAGUCUGAUGUGAAAGCCCACGGCUCAACCGUGGAGGGUCAUUGGAAACUGGGGGACUUGAGUGCAGAAGAGGAAAGCGGAAUUCCACGUGUAGCGGUGAAAUGCGUAGAGAUCGGGAGGAACAUCAGUGGCGAAGGCGGCCAUCUGGGACAACACUGACGCUCAUGCACGAAAGCGUGGGGAGCAAACAGGAUUAGAGACCCGCGUAGUCCCUGUCUCUUAUAC
Molecule: ribosomal RNA, 301 nt
Filed under: uncultured bacterium
Lineage: Bacteria
Description: partial 16S ribosomal RNA
Rfam family: Bacterial small subunit ribosomal RNA
Source: RNAcentral